Molecule: long non-coding RNA, 1161 nt
Organism: Dreissena polymorpha
Lineage: Eukaryota; Metazoa; Mollusca; Bivalvia; Myida; Dreissenidae
Exons: 3
Source: RefSeq, a predicted model, not a curated record
ACAUAAACUGUCAACAAAAUAACAAGACAAUACCUAAAAACACCCUUAUUUCACACCACUAACAAUAAACAGAUAACAAUCUGUCAGGCACUCAGAGCUAAACAGGGUACAGAUUAUCUAGGGGCAGAUAAGGCUACUGAUGGGGUUUGCCUAGAGAUAAGGCUGUGUGGAAUAAGAUAUAAGGCUUUUGAUUGGCUAUUGCACCGAGGAAGUUAUCUUUUUGAAAACAACAACUUUUGAAAAACAAGCUGGUGUCAGCAAUUGAAUAUUGAGCUAAAUUUAAUUCAGCAACAUUAAUAUAAAGAAGUGAAAGACUUAUAAUGGUAGUGUAAAAUGUCUUGAAAUUCUGUCAGCAUGAAGUAUUGUGUGAUGAAAACAAUGUGUUUUUUACUGCAAUGUGGAAAUCAAUAAUAAGUUGGUUGGAAAGGAGGUUGAACUGCCUGUUGUUGUUUUUGGAAUACUGAAGAACAGUUUUAACAGGUUAAACUCUUGCCACAAGGCAAAAUUGACAUCCAUGGGAAGAUCCUUUGGAAAGAAUGUGCAUCAUCGCCUGCCUGAUGUAUGGACUUUUAAACCUGGUUUUUACCCUGCACAAGCUGGCAAACUUGAGGGGAUCAAGAGUGGGGAAACCUCGCCCUGUCCUUGACCAAGAAAGCUCGAUUUGUUGAGAGAUCAACUGGCAUAAGAGAUGCUCAAGAGGAGAAGGACACAAGCAGCAUCAAUGGUACAUGUCACUCCAGCGCCUGCUUUCCAGGUCUCUACCAGCUGCUUUCCAGGUCCCUCCACCAACCAAGAUCAGGUCUAGGUCCCUGCACUGGCUGCUUUCCAGGUCCCCUAGCGGUCAAGGUCUCUCCAGUAGCUGCUGUGCAGGUCCCAACACCGUAUGCCGUCAAGGUCCCUCCAUAAGCUGAAAUCCAGGUUCCUCAUUCCACUGCGGUUCAGGUACCUCCAACAGCUGAGAUCCAGGUCUCUGCAGCAGCUGCGGUCUAAAUACUCCACCCGCAGUGGUCCAUUGCGGUCAACCUUUUGCUUUAAAAUCUUCCAUAAAUGUCUAUUAUUGUAUAAUGUAUUGUAAAAAUAAUCUGUUUGUAUUAAUUUGCGGUGUACUAUUUUUGUCAUAUAAACAUAAUUUUCGUACACAUUGUGUUUUUUUCCCUUUUA